GAUAGCGUGGCGUCCGGGUGAGUAACACGUAGGGAAUCUACCCUCGAGCGGGGGAUAACGUUCCGAAAGGAACGCUAAUACCGCAUAAGACCACGACGGCUCAGGCCGUUGGGGUCAAAGAUGGCCUCUGUACACAAGCUAUCACUCGAGGAUGGCCCUGCGGCGCAUCAGCUAGUUGGUGGGGUAACGGCCCACCAAGGCGAAGACGCGUAGCUGGUCUGAGAGGAUGAUCAGCCACACUGGCACUGAAACACGGGCCAGACUCCUACGGGAGGCAGCAGUGGGGAAUAUUGGUCAAUGGGCGCAAGCCUGAACCAGCCACGCCGCGUGAGUGAUGAAGGCCUUCGGGUUGUAAAGCUCUGUGGGGAGGGAAGAAAACGGCCAGUAAGAAACGACUGGUCCUUGACGGUACCUCCUUAGCAAGCACCGGCUAACUCUGUGCCAGCAGCCGCGGUAAUACAGAGGGUGCGAACGUUGCUCGGAAUUACUGGGCGUAAAGCGCGUGUAGGCGGGACCGCAAGUCAGAUGUGAAAUCCCCGAGCUCAACUCGGGAACUGCAUCUGAAACUGCGGACCUUGAGUACUGGAGAGGGCGGCGGAAUUCCUGGUGUAGAGGUGAAAUUCGUAGAUAUCAGGAGGAACACCGGUGGCGAAGGCGGCCGCCUGGACAGUCACUGACGCUGAGACGCGAAAGCGUGGGGAGCAAACAGGAUUAGAUACCCUGGUAGUCCACGCCGUAAACGAUGGGUGCUAGGUGUCUCGGGUAUUGACCCCUUC
Molecule: ribosomal RNA, 776 nt
Filed under: Sandaracinus sp.
Lineage: Bacteria; Pseudomonadati; Myxococcota; Polyangiales; Sandaracinaceae
Description: bacterial SSU rRNA
Rfam family: Bacterial small subunit ribosomal RNA
Source: RNAcentral